GCAGCAGUGGGGAAUAUUGCGCAAUGGGGGAAACCCUGACGCAGCAACGCCGCGUGAGCGAAGAAGGCUUUCGGGUCGUAAAGCUCUGUCAUCGGGGAAGAAGUCUCUUAACCUAAUAAGUUAAGAGGUGACGGUACCCGAGGAGGAAGCCACGGCUAACUACGUGCCAGCAGCCGCGGUAACACGUAGGUGGCAAGCGUUGUCCGGAAUUACUGGGCGUAAAGGGCACGCAGGCGGUUAAGUAAGUCAGGAGUGAAAGCCCCGGGCUCAACCCGGGGACUGCUUUUGAAACUGCAUAACUUGAGAGCAGGAGAGGUAAGUGGAAUUCCUAGUGUAGCGGUGAAAUGCGUAGAUAUUAGGAGGAACACCAGUGGCGAAGGCGACUUACUGGCCUGACUCUGACGCUGAGGUGCGAAAGCGUGGGGAGCGAACAGGAUUAGAUACCCUGGUAGUCCACGCCGUAAACGCUGGGUACUAGGUGUUGGGGGGUAGAACCCUUCAGUGCUGCAGCAAACGCAUUAAGUACCCCGCCUGGGGACUACGGCCGCAAGGCUAAAACUCAAAAGAAUUGACGGGGGCCCGCACAAGCGGUGGAGCAUGUGGUUUAAUUCGACGCAACGCGAAGAACCUUACCAGGGCUUGACAUCCCGUGACGUUUAUAGAAAUAUAAAUUUCCUUCGGGACACGGAGACAGGUGGUGCAUGGUUGUCGUCAGCUCGUGUCGUGAGAUGUUGGGUUAAGUCCCGCAACGAGCGCAACCCUUAUCGUAUGUUACCAGCACCUAGGGUGGGGACUCAUACGAGACUGCCGGUGAUAAACCGGAGGAAGGUGGGGAUGACGUCAAAUCAUCAUGCCCCUUAUGCUCUGGGCUACACACGUGCUACAAUGGCCGAUACAGAGGGCAGCGAAGCCGCGAGGUGGAGCAAAUCUUAUAAAGUCGGUCCAAGUUCGGAUUGCAGGCUGCAACUCGCCUGCAUGAAGUCGGAAUCGCUAGUAAUCGCAGGUCAGCAUACUGCGGUGAAUACGUUCCCGGGCCUUGUACACACCGCCCGUCACACCACGAAAGUUGGCAACACCCGAAGCCGGGAAUGAAAAUUUGUCGAAG
This 1105-nucleotide ribosomal RNA is filed under the name uncultured organism. RNAcentral describes it as "bacterial SSU rRNA". It matches the Rfam family "Bacterial small subunit ribosomal RNA", at positions 348 to 1461 of the family's 1533-position model. The record is from RNAcentral.